UUGAGCAGGAGUACUUUGCUGCAGCACAUUUAAGCCUAAUUGUCAGAGGAGAAAAGCAAGCAGAACUCAGAGGUGAGUUAGAAGAGCAUCCUUAUGAGGAUGAUGUCUUCACUGAAUCAGUGGUGCAAUGCAGCAAGCAGGGUGGAAAGGAGACUCUUCUGGAUAAAAGCACAAAACUGAAAGUGACAAGUAAAGGAAUUGGCUAAGAUGUCUACAGUUGCUGUGAUUUCUAUGAUGGGAGAGGAAUACAAUCAACUAAGCACAGAAAUCUUGUUUUUGCCAAGUGCUGGGCCCCUUGUAAAAUGUUUCAAUCAGUACUAGAAUGCUGAAGACUACCAAAGGACCAAUUAUUUUUUAGAAAGGGCAUGGUUCUAGCUUCAACAACCAAAUGCUACACUGCAAAGAGAUUAAUCAGAGCAAGGAAAAACAGCAGAGGACCCAACUAGAAUAGCAUCAUAGAACUUCAGCUCAAAUCUUUCAUGUUACAUCUUGAGACAUGAGUUGCAGGUUACCAGCCAAGUUCCAGUUGAUGCUACAUCAAUAUACUUAAGAAGACUGAGAACCCAUGGAGACCCAGCCCCAUGCACUCACGCAAGAAUCAGACACAGCUUAGUAUCUAGCGCCCACUAUUCUGCAAGCAUUUGUGCUGCUACAGUGGUAACUAAAUCAGAGGAACAUAAGCUGUAUGGGAUGGGACCUUUGCUCUACCUCUGGAACACAGUAGAAGAAACAGUAUGCUUUGCUGUUUCCACUGGUGUCACCAGCUCUGCUGCUUAGGUGGCUUCCAGCAGCCCUAAUGGCUUCCAAUGUUUUCCACAGCUGUGAUGCUUCCCUCCACUUCUCCACACAAGGUACUUUCCCCCUACUUCCAUGGCAUAAUGCAGUCCUUAAACACAUUGCUACCAUCCAGGCCAGGAAAAGGGAAUAUUCCAAGUUAAAAAGAACCAAAGAAUAUUCAAGAAUCUGCAACGAAAGCUACAAUUUUAUGCACUGUGAAGCAUCCAUCAACAAAAUACACAGAGCUAGUGCCAUAAAAUAAUUACAUGUGUGGAGCCCAUUGUAAAUACAGCUUUAGAUGCAUUGGCACAGUUGGGGAUGGAACUUAAAAAUAUAGUGAGAAGUAUAUUAUGCAAUGUAUUUUUGUAGUCUGUGAGCCAUAUACUGUGAUAGCAUCAGUUCAGCAAAAUUGCAUGCAGUAGUUCUAUAUCUAUUUGCCAUUACAGCUUUUCUUGAGCAGGGAAACAUUUCUCAAGAGUAUUAUUUUUCCUGCCAUGAAAUAGAUUUGCCCAUUAUGCCUACAGGGUAACUAUAUCUUAUUCAUUGGUCACUUACUGUCCUACUUUAACCAAUGAAGGGUAAUGAAACUGAGAGUUAUUUUGAGCCCUAUAACACUCUCUUGCAUCCAGAUCAGUUAAUUCUGAAAUAAAUCCAGGGUAGUUUGAUUUAUUUUUUGAAAGACUGUAUCAUCUCUUUUACAGAAGAGGCAUUUUGUAUUGUUUGGUUUGCCUUAUGGGAAGAGACUGUGGUGGCUGCUGUUGAAUAGAAAAGGUAAGACAAGGGUAAAACAUUUUAUAAUGAAGUCGAGACCAACCAACAAAACCAGGUUCACCGCAAAUGAUGAGUCAUGGGUAUGGUGACACAGAUAUAAGAGUCUAUUACUAAACCACAUUUUGGCCCUAAUAGGGUGAGUGACCUCUAUUAUGAUGAACAAUGAAAAGAGGCUGCCAGUUAUACAUAUGUUUGAAGUCCCAUAUUUAUUUUAGCCUUGUGUCACGGCGGGGUCCGUCAGGAGGGUCGUGAUCUCCUUGAGGCCCUCUCUCCGUGCCAAUUCGGCCCAAGGGCACCCUCG
Long non-coding RNA from Alligator sinensis (Chinese alligator), 1849 nucleotides. RefSeq lists it as uncharacterized. The transcript is spliced from 3 exons. The record is from RefSeq and is a predicted model, not a curated record. NCBI's taxonomy places the organism in Eukaryota, Metazoa, Chordata, Crocodylia, Alligatoridae.